UAUGUAAUGUGACCUGUUUUUUUUUUUUUAUUUGUAUGCAUGUAAACAGUGAUGGAUGAUACAUAAAAAUUUGUUUCUUUUGGCAGGGGGGUAAGAGCUAAUUUUCCUUAUAUAUUUUUAGAUUAUUUAAUUUGUGAUAAUGUUUUGAGUGCUUACAAGGAUUGGACACCUUCCUAAAUUUUUACUAGUUUUCACUAAUUUAAAUCUCACAUUAGGUAUGGAAGACAGGUUCUAUUACUUGCCUAUUUUAUAAACAGGGAAAUUUAAGCUAAAAAAAUUAAGGAUUUUCCCCAAGUUACACAAGACUUGGAAGACUGGGGUUCUAAGUAUCUUGUUGUGUUUGAUCUUUGUUCUGGUUAUUUAAAAAAGAGGCAUUGAAUAAACAUUAUUGUGGUAGAAUCAACUUGCUUAAUUUAGUCACUUGAAAUAAUACAUCUGUACGGAAUGCCUUAGUCCCAUUAUAAAAUGAAGUGAAUUUUCCUCCUAGCUAACAUUAAAGGCCAGUGAGAAUAACCCAAACCAAAAAUUUCAGUGAAACUUCUCUUUGACAAUAGGUAAGAGGCCAAGGGAAAUCAGUGGAUUAAUUCUUUGUGAUUUGAGAAUACUUUCCAGUGUAUUCUCUAAUAUCUAAUCUCAUGCAUAGUUAAUGUGACUCUUUACUUACUCUGUGGAAUUGAAAGACACUAAGGAGGAAUAAAUUCCCUUCACCUGUUUUUCCUGACACAUCCUUUAGGGUCCUUGAAUAAAAGAUAAUCUGCAAAUGCUGAAGGCUUUUGUGUAAGAAUUGAUUAUACUCUGGAGGUAAAGUUCUACGGUGAGUUUUACCAUCUGGUACACAUGUUUAAAGCAUGAAAGUACCUUAUAUACAACAAUUUUGACAGAUACUCAGUCUUUAAUGGGCAAGCCAGGUUAUUCUCAAAGGUACUUAGUAGGGAAAACAGUCAUGUAUACAAUGGCUUGCAUUUUCCUUCUUUUAAUUUCCCAUUUCCCCAUAACUGCUUGUAAUUUGCAUUCAUCUCUUUGCUAAUUGCUUCAUUAAUGCUUUGGAAAUUAGGAUGUUUGUUAUCCUCUGCAGUUGUUGGGUUGCCUAAGGCAGAGUAAAUGCUAACUUUAAAUAUUCUCAAUAAAAUUAUCACCAAAAUGCUACUAUUGGUAGUUCUUUGUGCAUUUAUACCUUGUAGACUCUAUUGUUGAAGGAAAAUGAUACACUUAAUAUAUUAUGGAAAUUGUCAUCUCGGUUUAGCUUUUAAAUAUAUUCAUUUCUAUAAUUUUUUAAUGUGUGCUAUAUGUUAGAUCUUUUAGAAUCAGUAUGCAUUGCAGGUUAAAUGAUUGCUUAUGGAAUUUUUCAGUAUUAGCAUAUCUAAGAAAAAUACAAGGAACAAAUAUUUAAGAGAAAUUAGGAGACAGGAAGAUCUUUCAAUUUGUAUUCAAACUUAAUCCCACAAAAUGUGAUUUGAUGCUGAGUUUGUGAGAUGCUACUGAUUUUGGAGAGACAGCAGUGGAUGAUGGCUUGAAGCGAGAUAUUAAUUCUCUGCUCAGGAAUUGAACCUAGAUAGCCUGGAUGAAAACCAAGAAUUCUACCCACUAGACUAGCUAGAGGCUAAAAGCAAAACUGCCCUAAUUCUUGCUCCCUGUUAAAAACAAUGUUUCAAAAUGGUAAAAACUGUAAAAAUAGGUAGAAAGUAUAAAGUUUAUUGUUAGAAACACAGUACAACAUGUGGGAGAGCACAGAAAUAUAGAGACUUAGUCUAUUUAUCAAAUAAGAGGCAGAAGCAGACAGUAAUAGCCAAAGGAGCGAGGGUGUGGGUGUCCCCUUAAAUGAGGAGCACACCAUGGAGGUGAUUUAAAUGACUUAGAACAGUUCUUCCGGGUCUUUGUCUUCCUUUGGUCAUUAUCUCCUUUUAUUUUUCACACCUAACCAGAACCCCCCCCCCCAACUCGAUAUGCAUCUGCAAUUUUUGGUCAAGAUGAUUCCAAAGCAAGGCAUGCAGGAAGGUUGUCUAGACUUAUUAUGGCCUGAUACCCUUCCUGCCUCAAGAAGUGUAAAUAAGAGGCUAGUUGCAUAUGUCUAUCCUGGAGCCCACCUGCCUCCUACCUCAUUAUUACCAUUGUUAUAUAAAUAUGCUUUAGGUACAAUACAGUUUGAUUAAAGCCUUCUUCUCAAAUAUUUGCCGCAGGGCUCUGGUUAGUAUUUAAAAACAUGAAAAUCUUCAUGUGGCGGUAUCAGAAUUGGUCAUAAAUAUUCUAAUGAAAAUAUAACCUCACUUCUGGACAACAACGGACAAACUGAAAGGUUUUAAAAAAUAUUGUGACCUAAUUGAUUGAUUUAGACUAUGUGUUUAAACAUUAAUUGCCUUACUCACCUGGCAGAUUUGUACUCAGAAAUUCAAAUGACGUUAGAAAUAGGAUUUUAAAGAUGGAUUCUCUCACUUUGAUUUUAUGCAAGCACAGUAUCAUAUUUUUGCUUCAUAAAUAUUCCAAUAUGGUAAAGAAAAAAUUUUGUCUUAAGUAUUUUUUUAAAGUAUUAGAAAUACUUAGUCAUUUUUAACUAAACAAAUAGAAUAAAAUCCUGAAAUACAUUAGGGUGAAUUCCAAUUUAAUCAGUGUAUUUAGCUUUUUAUUAAAAAAUAACUGGGUCUUCAGAACAACCCUCUGAACCACAGAAAAUAAAUAUAUGGUUAUAGACAUGUAGAUGAAGAGAUUUAGGCACAGAGGAUUAACUGAAUUUGUUAAGAUCUUGAGUGUGUACUCAACUCUUGUGAAUACUAGCCCUUAUUAUAUCUGUUAUAAAGGAUUGGUCAAGAAAAGUGUUACAAAAUUAUAGAAUGAGAAAUCCUAUACUGAGAAUAAAGCAUGAGAUCAGAGUUUUCCUAGCCUUUAAAAUUUUUUGAAGAUGAAUAGGAUGAAAGACACACAAUCUAAGGGAGAUAAGUACACAUUUGAAUAAAUGUAACAAAAUAUCAUUAAAGUGGCAACGAAAACCUUCUAGAACAAAGGCAAUGUUCUAACUAACAUGUAGUAACAUAAAAUUGUACCUAGCUGAUUGGUUUGUUCAUUCUUUUAUGCCACAUGACUUACUGAGUGCCUACUGUUUGUCAAGAACUUGAAACACUAGAGUGCAUGUCUUUUAGGAAGUUAUCUUUCAACUUGUAUCGUUUCACAGAUACUACAUAAUGAUGAUAAUGAUGAGUACCGACCAUUUAAAUUCCAUAAACUUCUUUUAUAUUGUGACUUUUUCAGCAUAAUAUAAAUGUAUAUUAUGAAUAGUAGUGUGGUAAUGAUUAGAGCUGCUAUACUUUAAAGUAAGUUGAGUGAUGUUGAGUAAAAUGAAAGCAAAAACCCUGUCACAACAGCAGCAAAACAAAACCAAAACUGGCAAAUAAUCCAAGGGCUGAUGAGAAAGAGAAGUUGGAAUGAAGAUACUUUGUCAGUUCUAAUUAUCCUAAUUUGAGAAACCAAAGAGGCCCACCAGAUGUUACUACAUGAGUUAAUUCUGUCUUCAGCAUUAAAAGUAAUUAACUUACAUGCUAACACUUGUACAAUUUCUUAGACUGGAAUUAAAUUCACAUGUUACCGCUUUCUGUCAGGCUGUCUUGAAACAAAAGCCCUUAUUAGAAUGAUGUAAAUUCCUCGUAAAUGAGAAGAUUCUGGUUAUCGACUCAUAGAUUGACUAACCUUAGAGGAGACUGUUUAGGCCAGGGUUUAGGGUUCAUUUGUGGCAAAGAGUGGGGCCUUAAACCUUGGUUAUCCUGGUUCCUUACUUGGCGGCAUGGCUGCUGCUCAUUGAUUCCCUGGACUCAUUUCUUUGGUCUAUUCAACUCCUGUAGAGCUCUGUAAAGGGAAGGUAAACUGAGGCAGUGAUGCUGUGGCUGUAUUUGCCAUCUACUGGUUACUUUAUUGAAUGUAAUAUGGCCACUAACAUAUUAUUGAAUGCCAGGCAGUUGUCUUUAAGUGCUUCACAUAUAUAUCUGGCUUUUAAAUGCUUACCUCAAGUCUUUUUUAAGUUUAUUCAAGUUUAUAAGCAUCUUGAAGCCCAGGGUGGUCAAAGGGUCUGGAAAUACCCAGUGGCCUGAGAUUUGAUUGUAGACCACCCACAUCAGAAGCUAGGCUUGUAACUUGACUGUGGAGCAAAAAUAUUUUAUGUUUUAGAUUUUCCUGUACACAUUUUUGUGUCUUUGACCUAAUCUUGCUUAAUCUUGACUUUAUAAUUCAUAAAAGAUGAAAAUAAAUCUCAGUUCUGUUUCCAUCAUGGAGUUUUCAUUGGUUUUAUAUAUAUAUAUGUAUGUAUGUAUUUUGGCUGCAACUGCACCAUGCAGAACUUCCAGGCCAGGGAUCAAACCCAUGCCACAACAAUAACCCAAACCACAGCAGUGACAAUGCCUAUUCCUUAAACUCUAGGCCACCAGGGAAUAUCUGUGACAAAUUUUAAUGUACGAAAAAUAUUUGGAAACUGUAAAAUACUACAAAGUGUGUUGAUUAUUAUUAUUACUUGGCACUAUUGAAAGCCCCCUUAUUUACUGUUGUUCUUUUUGGCCUUGUGACAAUAAUAUGUUUCAACCUUUUUUCCAGCGUUUCUGACUAUUCCUUUUGUAUUUUCUGGCACAAUUUUCUUUUAGUACCUACAGAAAAAGGGGGUAAAAGCCCAGAUCCUAUCUUUGACUCUGGAGAAUUUAGAUGUUGCCUAGUCAGACUUCAUCUUUGAGAUGAGGAAGUAAAUUUUGAGCAACUGAUGCCCUGGGUUACUUUUAUCAGAGAUGAUAAAUGUUCAUGGAUUCUGUUACCUUGUCUAAAGUCCUUCCAGUGCAAAUGCUGGGCUGAUUUAGUGUGGGCAUUUCUACAUCUUAUUUUUACCUCAAAGUGUUUCAGAUUUGAAAAUUAGUAAUUAAAAUAUAUCAAUUUUAAAUGUAAAUAUUUUAAGACUAGUUCUGUAUAAGAUUGUGAGUAGCAACAUCCGUUAAAAGCAGAAAAUGGAAAAGAUUUAACAAAUUGAUUCCAUAAUAAAAAGAUAUUCAGUGUCCGGGCAGAAUAACAGAAACAUCUGUUUUAUGUCUUUGGGGGAGGGAAAAAAACCUAAUUAGUUUGGGACUGAUUCAGAUAGAUGUCAUUUUAAAUUACUUUCUUCUGUUUACCAAAAUAAUACAAUUGGAUGGAGUAACCACAAUAAAGAAGAUAGGUUUAAAACAGAUGUCUGAUAAGACAUUCACACUAUGAAAAACUAUAUAUGAAACUGCCUUCUAGGCAGAUUUAUGCAGAACUAAAUGUUGGGUCAUUUCUCAAGAAAAACAAACCUUGAUGGGAGUGCACAAAGGUAGCACAGUUUUCAUUUUUAAUCAAUAAAGAAUAUCAGUUGAUCAAGCUAGGCUGAAUAAUGUGGUUUGUAUUUGAAGGGGGAAGAGGUAGAUGGUGAAGGGAAUUGAUUAAUCAGUCCACUAUAGAAACCGACACAAAUCUUUUUUUUCAAAUUUUAAUAUUUUUCUUAUUUGCUCUAUCUUGAUUUCACUUUGGAUUGUGGAUGUACUUCUGUCUACCUCUUAUAUGCAUUUACACAUACACACAUUUUCUUAGUUAAGCCAUAAUACAUAAAUAAGCUUGCAAGUAGUAGCAUCAAUAUAUUCAUGAGUCUAAUCUAGAAAUAUUUCCACUAAACUUAAUCAAUUCUUUGUCUCAGGGUUUUCUUUGAGUAAUGAAAAGAGGAUGGUUAGAAUAUUAGUCUGAGAUGGCAGCAACUGAUUCUCACCAAAGCAUAAAGGAAUUUUUAUUUGAAUUGAGUAUUUAAGGUAAAAGCAAAGAGCUAGUUUUAAACUCCAUUAGCUAACUGAGGAUCUUUGGGUGUUUUCUUAGUAAUAAAACUACCUUCAUAACCUAUAAAGAACAGAUACUAUAGAAAUUAUUUUGUAACUGAGUAUUUUUCUUUCCCUGAAGACUAUUUUAAGUCCUCAAAUACUCAUCCAUUCUUUGAAAAUAGUUCUUGUACAUCUACACACAGUGCAUAGGACAAGUAUUUUGUAGGAUGAAUAUACUCUUGUCUCACAGAAUUCUUGAUUCUUAAAGGAAUGUAGAUUAUGAUUGAGGUGAUUUGGGUUGUGGGAGGGGAACUCGUUUAAUAUACUUCAUGAAUGUGUGCAGAGACAGUGAAUCUCACCCUGUGUGGGUGGUGUAACUGAGUAGGGUCCUGUGGGGCUCCUGCGCACAAAAGCCUCUCUGGGUUCCCCAUUUCUUGUUUUUAGGAAAUGGGCCUCAUUCAGCCACUGUAGCCUUCCCUGAGUCCCAAGGAGGUUCAGACAGUUGCUGAUCAGGGAGGGGAGGGGAUGCAAAGAAGAUGGAGGAACAGUCAAGAAACAAUGGUACAGGAGUUCCCGUGUGGCUCAGUGGUUAAUGAAUCCAACUAGGAACCAUGAGGUUGUGGGUUCGAUCCCUGGCCUCACUCAGUGGGUUAAGGAUCUGGCAUUGCUGUGAGCUGUGGUAUAGGUCGCAGAUACAGCUCAGAUCUCCCAUUGCUGUGACUCUGGCAUAGGCCGGCCGCUACAGCUCUGGUUGGACCCCUAGCCUGGGAACCUCCAUAUGCUGCGGGUGCGGCCCUAG
This 6582-nucleotide long non-coding RNA is filed under the name Sus scrofa (pig). RNAcentral's name for it is "lncRNA (ENSSSCG00030016572.1)". Lineage: Eukaryota; Metazoa; Chordata; Mammalia; Artiodactyla; Suidae. The record is from RNAcentral.